This 297-nucleotide long non-coding RNA is filed under the name Nicotiana benthamiana. RNAcentral describes it as "long non-coding RNA (NBEN_LNC034010)". The record is from RNAcentral. Lineage: Eukaryota; Viridiplantae; Streptophyta; Magnoliopsida; Solanales; Solanaceae.
AUGUUGAAGAGUAAACUUUUAUCAUAUGUCAUAUGAUUAGAUGCCCCUGAGUCUAUUAUCCAGGUGGCAGAGUUAAUAUGAGUAAGCAUGCAAAGCUUAGAAUCAGAAAUAGGGCUCUCAGUUAGCUUUGUACCAGCAAAAUUAGCAACAUACAUGGGAGGAGGAGUCUGAGCAGUGGAGUCCCCUAACUGGGUCUGUUGUAACAGGCUCAUCAAUUGGUCAUACUGUUGUCUACUCAACCCUGGUAUCACAGAACUCUGGCCAUCUAUGUUUGUAACAGAGUGAUGGCUUUCAGGA